GCUCUAUAUAAACACCAUAACUACAUGCUUUCUCUAGCCAUCACAGAUUUGCUUUCAUAUCCAUUAAUCUAAUUUUAUCUAUUAUUCUUGUCUUCUUUGAUCAAUCCAAGCAUGGUGCACAAGGGUUUUCCUUCUCUUACAGUCACACUUCUGCUGCUCUUUCUGGGUUUCUCUUUUGUGCUCUCUUCUCUUGCAGUUCCUUCAACUAGAAGCCUCAAGUCAAGUGAAGGAAACCCAUCAUCAGUUCAAGAUUUUCUGACUCAGGAUGCUGUGGACUUGAAUAUUGGAGAAGAACAAGCUCUUGAUUUGGGAGAAGGUUAUAUUAAUGGAAGGGUGGAUUUGGAAAGCACAGACUAUCCAGGAACUGGAGCAAACAAUCACCAUGAUCCAAAAACCCCAGGAAAAGCUUAAAUCAUAAAAGGAAAAAUCCCAAGAAUUUAUCUAUGUGCAGAUCAGGCUUCAAAAAAGGAGGAAGAAGAAGUUGUGAGUUUGGGUUUGCUUUUGUGAAGGAUAUUUGCUUGCCACUGUUUAUCCAUUAUCUUAAUUAAUUAAGAGGGGGAUGUUUGUUUAUCUAUCUGUCUGUUUGAAGUAUAUUAAUUAAUUAAUUAUCUAAUUUUAAUUGAGAUUAGAGGAAGGGGUUCCAUUGGUACAAGGAAUGAAGGAAUUAAUGUUAUAAAAAAGUCGUGGGGUGGGGUGGGGUGCAAAAUUGUAAUUUGCAUGUAUCUAUAAAAU
RNAcentral lists this unclassified non-coding RNA (732 nucleotides) under Hevea brasiliensis (rubber tree). Lineage: Eukaryota; Viridiplantae; Streptophyta; Magnoliopsida; Malpighiales; Euphorbiaceae. The record is from RNAcentral.